ACAUAUGCUACUAAGUGUUUCAUAGUUGGAUAUCAUUCGACGUCUGCUAACUAGUCUAAUGGUUUUGGUUAGUUUCCCCAAAACAAGCAGUUUAAGCACUAAGAUUGGUUUACAAAUUAGUUCAGUAAAGAUUUUAUGUAUAUCAUAUUUAUGUUUAGUUUUGGGGAUGUGUGGCCUGGGAUCGGAUAUAACUUAUUUGAAGAGCUAUAGAAAGAUGCCCUUUUUAUAUUAGAGCCCUAAUUUUUACAAUAAAAGUAAUAAUUUAUAUAAAGCUUCUCGAAAAUUUGGUCAGAAAACCAACGAAAAAUAACACGGCAUAUAAAAUAUUUUAGUGAUGAAAGUUUUAAGUAAAUUUGUGCCAGGGUUAAUCUACAUGCAAAAUUGUCUGAAAUAGAAUAUAAAACUAUGACCAACCCAUAAACUUUUUUAAGUCUAACUCAAUUUGACAAUUUGUCACAUUACUUCAUUUCAGGCCAUUAUCAAAAUCAACAAAUAAGUUAACAAUUUACAUUGGCUGCAGUUAGAAAUCAUGCAUCAUAAACCAAGUUUAAAACACAUGUUGAUCAAAACACGAUUGGAUCAGUUAAGGAGUAAUAUAAGGAUGCGUUCUAAUAAAUCUGAUAGUAUUAAAUGCAAAUUACCAGAUACUAACAAAUGUCAACCUGAAGAAUUCGAAUCCGAAAGACAACCCCAAAUAGCUCCCUGCACCCCGGAUUGUACUAAAUCUCAGAACCCCAAACUCCAACCGAGAAAUUGCUUGCCUUGGGAAAAAGCAGCUGAACAAUGUCCUUCAAAAAUGGCACCCAGAAUUCUAGAAACUGAAUGCUGCAAACACAUCUGCGAACCAUAUACAGGCCAAGACAUAAUCGAUAAAUUCACUAUGUCCUCUUGCGAAUUUAAAAGGUUCCUCAAAUGUUCUAGGAAAACCAAAGAUGCAGAAAAAUGUAUCAAUUUGAAGAUGGAAUUUGGUUUGCCAAAAAAGGUGGGUUUUUUUUGGGUAAAAACAUUGUCUAUGAGGUAAUUUUAAGGAGUAUCCCAUGAUGCACGCUGUACGCAAGAAGUACCUCGCAGGAGCCCCCUUUAAAGUUCACAAACAUGGUCACACGGAAAUUGUAACAAAUAAAAAUUGAAACUGAAAAAUGUUUUUGUCAAAAUAAUAAUAAAGUAACAUUUUUUAAUAUGAUUAUGCACGUCUGCUGAGUAUUUCAUUUAUAUCUAGAUAUCAGGUGCAAAAUAUUUUAAAAGAUUAUUUUUCAACAAGAUUUAAGCACAUAAUCUUUGUUUCCAAUACGGAAACGAGGUCUAUCAAAUUUCCAAAAAAAAAAUGUUUGUAUACCUCCAAGAUUGAAUAAUUUUUAAAGAUAAACAGAUAAACUAAAUUUAUUCCCAUACGAUCAGAGUAUUUCUUUUUAAGUAAACAGUCGUGACGUUUCACUAUUUGCGUUAUCGCUUUGAUACCCAAGAAAAGUUUCACCAGUCCAAUGUCAACUGUUGUCAAUUUACAUCCAAAUUAAUUGUGAUCAUUUCGCACCAUUUUCCAUCACAAAGUCAUAAAUUUCAUAAUACCAUGUGGUUCUGCAAGACUUCUGUAAAUGUAUUGUUUGAAUGGCUAACCAAUUGCCAAAGCUUUAAUAGAAAUUUACAUCUUCCUUAUGGUUCUUGUGGAAGCGCAAGAAAUGCUCGUCAAGAAAUGUGGAAAUAUUAUUCCACUAACGACAAUUUCAACGAGAAAAAUUUCGAGAUGGAUAUCGAUAAAAAGGCAGAAUUAGAAUUGAAUGGAGAAAAAUCGUAUAUGAAUAUCCUGGAGAAAUUGACGCUGAAAACAAAAAAUAAAAAGAAUCAAAAUGUUAAGCUAACAAUAACUUCCGAAUAUCAAAAACCGAUAAAGAUAGAUGUCGAAAAAGAAUUAAUGAAAUCCAACUUAAAAAUAUAUGAUCUUCAAAAUCACGCAAACAAAGAAGGCGAUUUACUUAUAGUUAUACCUAAGAGGACGAUGGUUGAAUAUGAUUUACUGAAACCAAACCAACAAAAUAAACCCGCAGAGAAUACUUACAAAAACAAAGACAAAAUUGGCGGAACAACACAAAUAUUUAAAAAGAUGAUAAACGAAAUGAAAAGCAAACAUACCAAUGAAGAACAUUCAAACGAAACCAAACAUGAGCUACACAAAGCAGCAAACAUUGGUACAAAGGUAAACAAAUUGGAAAAAAAAUAUACAACCAAAAUAGAACCUAAAGUGGAAUCUUCAAGAAGAAACAAAUUUUACCAAGAAAAAAUUCUUAACACAACGAUAAACUUCAAUCAACAUACUGAAAAAAUGCACGAAAGCAGUGGCACUGAAAUUAAACACCAAUUGAACAAAACAACUAACACUAAAAGUAAAAAUACUGACAAACAAACGGCAAGUAAAAGUAGAACAGAAAACGAAGCGCUAUCAAAUGUAAAAAUGAAACAAAAAAAUAAAUUUAAUGAAAUGCGUGCCAAUGAUAAAUUAAGAACAACAAUAACUAAAGUAGCAAAGGAAAACAAAGCACAACAAACUUUAAAAGAGACAGAAUUGGAAAACGUAUCAAAACAGGACGCAAGCUCUAAAGAAAAAUUAGAAUCAGUCAUUGAACGCAACGAAAAGGCAAUCGAAAUAAAAAAUAAGAAGCAAAAAAUAAGGGUAUUACUGUCCAUGCCCUUAGAGGUGGAGUUAGAUAAUAAUGAUCUAAUAAAACUUCAAACAGAAAUGAGAAAAAUGCAUUAUAAUUAUUUAAAGCAACCCGUAAAUGCAGAACAAGUUGACGCGGGCGAUAAAUACUCUCUAAUUAGAAAUAAUGAAAAGAAGUACGAAAAAGUGCAGAAAAAUGUUGAACGAAAUUAUUUAAGCACCUAUAAUUCAAAAAACAUGCAAACAAAAACAGCAAAAGAAAUUUAUAAUGCUGAAAAAAGGAUUCCAAUAGUACCUAUUAGGUUCCGAAACAACCCUACCCUUACAGCCAAACCGAUUGAAGCAGGUGAAAUGUCCAUUCUCUAUAAGCUAUGGUUGGGCAUUAAAUGCUGGUGGCACAGCCACAUAUAGCUGAAUUCACAACCAACAAAUUGAGUGGCCACCGCUUGAAUAUGCAAAUCAAAGCAACAGUAUUUCUAUGGAAAUUAUUUAACAAUGUCAAUGCCAAAUAUUUUUCAUCGUCAAUCAUUUCAUCCCAUCCAUUCGAAUUUCCGUACUCUAACUGCGCUUCUAUGAAUCUACCAAAAACAAGAAAUUUGGCAUCAAAACCUAUAACAACGAGACUUGUGAGAUUCAAAAGCAAGGAACAUGAAGAUACUAAACCAUCAAAAUAUGUUGUGGAAAAAUCGUGUGACCCGUCUAUAUUCGACAGAUGGAAGCCAAAAGUGCCUGAACUGAAUUAUUGUGUUUAUCCAAAACCACAGGAUACCUACAAGUGCCGAAAAUAUAGAAAGUGCAUUCCCGGAAUGAAAUUUCAAGAAAAAUCUAAGAGUGACAUAGAAAGGGAAGCAAGACAAUGUUUAAAUGAUGUAAAUCCAACAAUUGUCAAAGAAUGUUACAGAAUCAUAGGUAAGCAGGGACAGGAACCAAUACCCCCACCCUUGCUAACUAGGCUGGUUCGAAGAGCAUCAAAACCAGACAAACAGAGUGAAAGAACUGCAACAUGGUAUGGAGCUGGCGUUUCGACUAAGCAAAUAGACCACGAAAUUCCAGAAGGGGAUUGGGAUUCUGACAGAACCUUGUAACAAUAAAGUAAUUACAUUAAUAUAUAACACAAAAAAAGAAAUAAUAGAGGCCUCAUUGUAAUGGAACUUUCUCACUCUGUGGCAGAAUUAUUAAAAGCUAUGAUGAAGAUGCCUUUAAAACAUAGUCUAACUAAGUGGAAGUGUAAUACUUUUUUAAAUUAUUUGGUUCCACUCUUUCUGUCCCAUUUAUUUUUACAAAUUGCUAUAUGUCUAAAAC
Molecule: RNA transcript, 3955 nt
Organism: Cylas formicarius (sweet potato weevil)
Lineage: Eukaryota; Metazoa; Arthropoda; Insecta; Coleoptera; Brentidae
Exons: 6
Source: RefSeq, a predicted model, not a curated record